This 479-nucleotide ribosomal RNA is filed under the name uncultured bacterium. RNAcentral describes it as "bacterial SSU rRNA". It matches the Rfam family "Bacterial small subunit ribosomal RNA", at positions 8 to 497 of the family's 1533-position model. The record is from RNAcentral.
AGAGUUUGAUUAUGGCUCAGGACGAACGCUGGCGGCGUGCUUAACACAUGCAAGUCGAGCGAGAGCCGGCUGAGGGGUAACCCUUGGCCGGGGACAGCGGCGAACGGGUGCGUAACACGUGGGCAACCUGCCCCUGACUCUGGGAUAACCCCGGGAAACCGGAGCUAAUACCGGAUACUCUCGGCCAACCACAUGGUUGGCCGAGGAAAGAUCUGUCGGUCAGGGAUGGGCCCGCGGCCAAUUAGCUAGUUGGUGGGGUAACGGCCUACCAAGGCGACGAUGGGUAGCUGGUCUGAGAGGAUGGUCAGCCGGAUUGGGACUGAGAUACGGCCCAGACUCCUACGGGAGGCAGCAAUUAGGAAUCUUGCGCAAUGGGGGAAACCCUGACGCAGCGACGCCGCGUGGAGGAUGAAGGAUUUCGGUUCGUAAACUCCUUUUCUGCGGGAAGAAGACAGUGACGUACCGCAGAUAGCCCGNUC